Molecule: long non-coding RNA, 449 nt
Filed under: Chelydra serpentina (North American snapping turtle)
Lineage: Eukaryota; Metazoa; Chordata; Testudines; Chelydridae
Description: lncRNA (ENSCSRG00000008689.1)
Source: RNAcentral
AGCGGCUGCACUUAGACCAGGGCUUCUCUGUCAAUUCCCUUAGCAUGCGACUCAUAUGGACUCUCUGGCUAACCUGAUAAAAUCAGAAUUGGUCAAGGAUUUGUGUUUUACUCAACUUGGCUGCGAUUCAGAGCUGGAUAAACUGGGACCCUGCUGCUUUCAGACCAAAACACAGAAGACCCCAUCAUGGGAGACCCAGAGCCAAGUGGUCUCAACCAUCAAGUGAGAGGGUCUGAAAACAAGAAGCGGUACAGUGAGAUUUUCCGGAGUCUGGACGCCUUAGAAAUCUCACUUGGAAAUUCGACAGUUGACAUGUUCAUUGAUGACACAGACAGCACGGACACCACAGACCUGACCCCAGAGAGUGAGAUGCUCCUAGUAAGUGAAGAGACAGAACCCUUUUCAAUAGAGAUAUUAAGUAACAUUUAUUCUAGCAAGGGAAAUGAAAU